This 1499-nucleotide ribosomal RNA is filed under the name uncultured bacterium. Its description in RNAcentral is "bacterial SSU rRNA". It matches the Rfam family "Bacterial small subunit ribosomal RNA". The record is from RNAcentral.
AGGGUUUGAUCAUGGCUCAGAUUGAACGCUGGCGGUAGGCUUAACACAUGCAAGUCGUGCGAGAAAGUAUCUUCGGAUAUGAGUAGAGCGGCGGACGGGUGAGUAACGCGUAGGAAUCUACCUAGUAGAAGGGGAUAGCCCGGGGAAACUCGGAUUAAUACCGUAUACCUCCUUCGGGAGAAAGAAGGCCUCUCUUUGAAGCUUUCGCUAUUAGAUGAGCCUGCGUAAGAUUAGCUUGUUGGUGAGGUAAAGGCUCACCAAGGCGACGAUCUUUAGCGGGUCUGAGAGGACGAUCCGCCACAUUGGGACUGAGACACGGCCCAGACUCCUACGGGAGGCAGCAGUGGGGAAUAUUGGACAAUGGGCGCAAGCCUGAUCCAGCCAUACCGCGUGUGUGAAGAAGGCCCUAGGGUUGUAAAGCACUUUAAGUUGGGAAGAAAAGUUAUUGGUUAAUACCCAAUAACCGUGACAUUACCAUCAGAAUAAGGACCGGCUAAUUCCGUGCCAGCAGCCGCGGUAAUACGGAAGGUCCAAGCGUUAAUCGGAAUUACUGGGCGUAAAGCGCGCGUAGGUGGUUUAUUAAGUUGGAUGUGAAAUCCCCGGGCUCAACCUGGGAACUGCAUCCAAAACUGAUUCACUAGAGUACGAUAGAGGGAGGUAGAAUUCACAGUGUAGCGGUGGAAUGCGUAGAUAUUGUGAAGAAUACCAAUGGCGAAGGCAGCCUCCUGGAUCUGUACUGACACUGAGGUGCGAAAGCGUGGGUAGCGAACAGGAUUAGAUACCCUGGUAGUCCACGCCGUAAACGAUGUCAACUAGCUGUUGGAAAACUAUGUUUUUCAGUGGCGCAGCUAACGUAGUAAGUUGACCGCCUGGGGAGUACGGCCGCAAGGCUAAAACUCAAAUGAAUUGACGGGGACCCGCACAAGCGGUGGAGCAUGUGGUUUAAUUCGAUGCAACGCGAAAAACCUUACCUAUACUUGACAUACUUGGAAUGCUUUGUAAUGAAGCAGUGCCUUCGGGAGCCAAGAUACAGGUGCUGCAUGGCUGUCGUCAGCUCGUGUCGUGAGAUGUUCCGUUAAGUCGGAUAACGAGCGCAACCCUUACCCUUAUUUGCCAGCGAUUCGGUCGGGAACUAUAAGGGGACUGCCGGUGAUAAACCGGAGGAAGGUGAGGACGACGUCAAGUCAUCAUGGCCCUUACGUAUAGGGCUACACACGUGCUACAAUGGAGAAUACAGACGGACGCUAAGCCGCGAGGUGGUGCUAAUCCUAGAAAAUUCUUCGUAGUCCGGAUUGGAGUCUGCAACUCGACUCCAUGAAGUCGGAAUCGCUAGUAAUCGCGAAUCAGCAUGUCGCGGUGAAUACGUUCUCGGGUCUUGUACACACCGCCCGUCAUACCAUGGAAGUGGAUUGCACCAGAAGUAGAUAGUCUAACCUUCGGGAGGGCGUUUACCACGGUGUGCUUCAUGACUGGGGUAAAGUCGUAACAAGGUAGCCGUA